AUUGAACGCUGGCGGAAUGCUUUACACAUGCAAGUCGAGCGGCAGCGCGGGGGCAACCUGGCGGCGAGCGGCGAACGGGUGAGUAAUGCAUCGGAACAUGUCCAUGUCGUGGGGGAGUAGCCCGGCGAAAGCCGGAUUAAUACCGCAUACGCCCGAGAGGGGAAAGGUGGGGGACCGGCAAGGCCUCACGCGAUUGGGUUGGCCGAUGUCCGAUUAGCUAGUUGGCGGGGUAAGUGGCCCACCAAGGCGAUGAUCGGUAGCUGGUCUGAGAGGAUGAUCAGCCACACUGGGACUGAGACACGGCCCAGACUCCUACGGGAGGCAGCAGUGGGGAA
Molecule: ribosomal RNA, 335 nt
Filed under: uncultured bacterium
Lineage: Bacteria
Description: bacterial SSU rRNA
Rfam family: Bacterial small subunit ribosomal RNA
Source: RNAcentral